RNAcentral lists this ribosomal RNA (449 nucleotides) under uncultured bacterium. RNAcentral describes it as "partial 16S ribosomal RNA". It matches the Rfam family "Bacterial small subunit ribosomal RNA", at positions 29 to 523 of the family's 1533-position model. The record is from RNAcentral.
AACGAACGCUGGCGGCAUGCCUAACACAUGCAAGUCGAACGAAGCCUUCGGGCUUAGUGGCGCACGGGUGCGUAACGCGUGGGAAUCUGCCCUCUGGUUCGGAAUAACAGUUGUAAACGACUGCUAAUACCGGAUGAUGACGAAAGUCCAAAGAUUUAUCGCCAGAGGAUGAGCCCGCGUAGGAUUAGCUAGUUGGUGUGGUAAAGGCGCACCAAGGCGACGAUCCUUAGCUGGUGUGAGAGGAUGAUCAGCCACACUGGGACUGAGACACGGCCCAGACUCCUACGGGAGGCAGCAGUGGGGAAUAUUGGACAAUGGGCGAAAGCCUGAUCCAGCAAUGCCGCGUGAGUGAUGAAGGCCCUAGGGUUGUAAAGCUCUUUUACCCGGGAUGAUAAUGACAGUACCGGGAGAAUAAGCCCCGGCUAACUCCGUGCCAGCAGCCGCCGUAA